This is a long non-coding RNA of Populus euphratica (Euphrates poplar), 1546 nucleotides long. RefSeq lists it as uncharacterized. The record is from RefSeq and is a predicted model, not a curated record. NCBI's taxonomy places the organism in Eukaryota, Viridiplantae, Streptophyta, Magnoliopsida, Malpighiales, Salicaceae. The transcript has 5 exons.
AAUGAAUGACUGCUUCACCUGAUAACAUGCACGGCUGCUGGCUGAAGUGAUUGUUUUUGCGGUAUCAAUAGCAUGGGAAGGAAGGAGAGCUGGGAAUUUUGCCAAUCCAUUUCUAGUUACUACUUUCCAUGUUGUUGCUCAUAAUCAGUUAAGUCCCAUUGAAGUUUUAGAUUGUUAAUUGUUGUUUCUUUUUUCUUUCCUAUUUUUAAUGCUUAAUGCCCUCUUUUGAAUAUGAAUGCAAUUUCAAAUUCUUUGAUUCACAUCAAUGGAGUUGUCAGUUUGUUUUUUUUGGGUGAUAUGUUAUGUAUUUCUAGUAUCUGACUUGUAAGAAUUCAAGUGCAUGGAGUAUAUUCCUUGGCUUUUGUUUUUCAUUAUCUUGUCUCUUUGUUCCUCUCAUUUUCAUGAGCCUCAAAAUCAUGUGUGAAUCGUGAAGGGUCCAGCAUGGUUUCAUGCCAUGUUUCAUUGUUUCUUAAGGUCUUGGGAGAAAGCUUCAGAUUUGAUCAUGGGCUCGUUGUUGAGACUUCCAAUUGUAUGCUUUUUGAAUGCUGUGUGCCAUUUUAGUCCUUGCUUUUUAUCAAUGUAAGAUUGGCUCAGGUUAGGGACCUUUAUUUAUUCAAGAUUCUUGGGUGGUUUUUGGUUUCUGGGGUUUUCUCCAGCUUCUUUCAUAGUUAGUUUCCUUUGAAAAGGACCUUUGUUCGAUAUUAGCUGUCAUGCUAGACACAUUAGUGCUUUGGGGAUGGUUUUUUUUCAUGUGUCUAUUGCUUUCUUUACCUUGGUGUGCGAUGCGCAAGUGUUUUUCCUAUCUCUCGCGAGGGAAAUCUUUCAUGGAUCUUCCGCGUGUUGUUUCUGUUCUGUCUUGCAUACUGAUUCAGUUUCCUUUUCAUUUUCUGUGAUGUUUGCCAUCCUGUUGACAAACCUUGACGGUCGGUAAUGUUCCUGAUGUUGUUUUGCACCGUUACCGUGCUUGUUUAUGGUCUUUAGCUUGUACCAUCGCUGCUCAUGUUGUUCUGGCCUCCAAUCUCGAGUGUUUUUUUAAUGAUUUUGCCGUUGUUUCCGCCAGUGCACGAUGCCUUUCACUAACAAACAAAUGUACUCUGCUGUUUAUUUCAUCACCAACUAAUUCAGCAUUUGUUCAACCAAGCGCAGGCACUGAUACUAGCUUAUUACCAUCGGAGAUGGCGAGAGAGGGAGGCAGAGCAUGGUUGUUUUUGGGUGGCAGAUACGCGGGCACAAGGUAAGCACGCUUAGUUUCAUUCACUUGUCUACACAUCAACCCUCUACAGGUUGUCUCCUCGAAACCAAAUGCAUGCACCGACAAAGAAAAACAACACUUUCCAUCCCUCGUCAUAUUUUAGCAAAAUCCAAAAGCAGAAAAAUGAUUUCAUUUUUAGCGUUGUGCAAAGAGAGAUGCAGCAAGAUAGAGGAGUGAGUGAAGAUGUGGGAGCCAAAUUAAGAAGGGAGAUUGAAGCCGACGCAGGGAGAUGAUCAACAGCGUGGCAUCCACAGAAGUGCCAGUCGCUGUCUGUCUGAAUACUUUGGUUUUUGG